This is a long non-coding RNA of Nicotiana attenuata, 677 nucleotides long. RefSeq lists it as uncharacterized. The record is from RefSeq and is a predicted model, not a curated record. Lineage: Eukaryota; Viridiplantae; Streptophyta; Magnoliopsida; Solanales; Solanaceae. The transcript is spliced from 3 exons.
UGUGACUGCAAAGGCUUUAGAUGCCUUCACAAGUUGUGCUCGCUUGCUCUAGUAGAAGAUGCUCGAUUUUGCAAUGUGAAGUUGUUGAUCUUGGACCAUUGGGGACUCCCGUUCAACAUCCAAAUUGGAGAGGACUAGGCGUUUUCAAGAGAGUACAACAGCAACUUGGUACAUCCCUUCUUGCAGCUUGACGGGAGACAUUCAGAGUAUUCCUAAGCGAGCUUGAUCGACGAGCAAUAUCCCCACUUUGCAACAUGCGAGCGAGAACAUGGUGCAUCUCAGCCUUGCGACUUGGCAAGAAAGAGGCUUGGAGCUCGACUUUUGAAGCUGACUUGCAAAGAAGUUCUAUGAGUCCAUAUAUCAGUCUGAGAUGUCAUACAAGAUGCGGAGUCACCCCUUCACCAACUGUUGCACUUGAUUUGUUGACGGUUUUGAAGUUUAUCAAUGGCGGCUCUCGUGGUGAUUGAAGGUUUUUCAAGAGAGAUGACUUCUUAUAUACGAGGCAUUGAGGAUAGUGUAUUAAAAUGUGGAGACGUCAUAUGGACUUGGAAGAAGCAUUCGAGACGAGUCGGCCACAAAGCCUAGUUUACGAUCAUUUUCAUGACUUAGGCUUUUGUAUAGGAAAACGUCUAAUUCCUUUUGUCUCUACAUUUUUUGAUGUAUCAACUUUUGUCCUA